Molecule: ribosomal RNA, 568 nt
Filed under: Pichia kluyveri
Lineage: Eukaryota; Fungi; Ascomycota; Pichiomycetes; Pichiales; Pichiaceae
Description: eukaryotic LSU rRNA
Rfam family: Eukaryotic large subunit ribosomal RNA
Source: RNAcentral
AAACCAACAGGGAUUGCCUCAGUAGCGGCGAGUGAAGCGGCAAGAGCUCAGAUUUGAAAUCUCACCUAGUGUGCGAGUUGUAAAUUGCAGGUUGGAGUCUCGGGUUAGACGUGUGUGCAAGUCCCUUGGAACAGGGUGCCACUGAGGGUGAGAGCCCCGUANCGUGCAUGUCGACACCUGUGAGGCCCUUCUGACGAGUCGAGUUGUUUGGGAAUGCAGCUCUAAGUGGGUGGUAAAUUCCAUCUAAGGCUAAAUAUUGGCGAGAGACCGAUAGCGAACAAGUACUGUGAAGGAAAGAUGAAAAGCACUUUGAAAAGAGAGUGAAACAGCACGUGAAAUUGUUGAAAGGGAAGGGUAUUGGGCUCGACAUGGGAUUUACGCAUCGUUGCCUCUCGUGGGCGGCGCUCUGGGUUUUUCCUGGGCCAGCAUCGGUUUUCGUUGCAGGAUAAGGACAAUUGGAAUGUGGCUCCUCGGAGUGUUAUAGCCUUUUGUAGAUGCUGCGUAUGGGGACCGAGGGCUGCGGCGGACUCGUUUCGUCUCGGAUGCUGGCACAACGGCGCAAUACCGC